Non-coding RNA from Aegilops tauschii subsp. strangulata, 663 nucleotides. The record is from RefSeq and is a predicted model, not a curated record. NCBI's taxonomy places the organism in Eukaryota, Viridiplantae, Streptophyta, Magnoliopsida, Poales, Poaceae.
AUAUUGCUCUCAGUGUGUGCAGACAGGACAGAAUAAGCAACUGAACUGAACUGGUGGAGAUGCUUGAGUUGAUGAACUGAAGGGUCUCUAGAUGCCUAUUUAUACACGAGAGUGGCACUCGACAGUUGCGUUGAUUCCAUUGCAUUUGCAUGCAUGAACCUGUAUAUGUUCAUCACACUGUUAGUAGUUGGCUAUCAAUUAAUGGCUUCGAUUCGUCCAGCUAGCCAGGCAUGACGGUGAUCUGCUCGCACUCUCGACCAAGCUUCCACUGCUUCUUUCUGUACGGAAUGGAAUACUCUCCGGUCCCGAAGAUUUAAUUGUGAUCGGCGCUUGCCAACUACUCGGUGUACUUAAACUAUGCAUCGAGCUGGAUUUGAUGCUCUGACUCCAGAAUAGAAUUUGGGAAAUCCAAUUGAAACAUGGUGGGGUAUGUUUUCUUGCUUCUACUGGAAUCUGGAGGCCCUGGAUGAUCCCAACCCAUUUUACUCUUGCAUUUUUUUUGUGUUACUGAAGCUGUGUUUUGGUCCAACUGGAAGGUGGUGAUUCGGUCUGCUUUUGCUACAAGUCUAACACCUGUAAACGUCGUGCAUUUCAUCUUUAGAUAAAUGUGAACAAGGAAUUUUGCUUAUUACCACAGAUUUGUGUUGCAUAUUUUUUUUGACA